AACGAACGCUGGCGGCGUGCUUAACACAUGCAAGUCGAACGCGAAAGGGACUUCGGUCCUGAGUAAAGUGGCGCACGGGUGAGUAACGCGUAGAUAACCUGUCUUCAUGUCUGGAAUAAUACGCCGAAAGGGGUACUAAUACCGGAUAUUCUUGCUUUUCAUAAGUUAUGCAAGCAAAGGUGGCCUCUGCAUAUGCUACUGCAUGAAGAGGGGUCUGCGUACCAUUAGCUAGUAGGUGGGGUAAUGGCCUACCUAGGCGACGAUGGUUAGCGGGUCUGAGAGGAUGAUCCGCCACACUGGCACUGGAACACGGGCCAGACUCCUACGGGAGGCAGCAGUGAGGAAUAUUGCGCAAUGGGGGAAACCCUGACGCAGCGACGCCGCGUGAGUGAAGGGAAGGCCUUCGGGUCGUAAAGCUCUGUCAAGAGGAAAGAGGUGUACAAUGGCUAAUACCUGUUGUAUUUGACGGUACCUCUAAAGGAAGCACCGGCUAACUCCGUGCCAGCCGCAGC
RNAcentral lists this ribosomal RNA (512 nucleotides) under uncultured bacterium. Its description in RNAcentral is "bacterial SSU rRNA". It matches the Rfam family "Bacterial small subunit ribosomal RNA", at positions 29 to 518 of the family's 1533-position model. The record is from RNAcentral.